This 297-nucleotide ribosomal RNA is filed under the name Triticum aestivum (bread wheat). Its description in RNAcentral is "partial small subunit ribosomal RNA". The record is from RNAcentral. Lineage: Eukaryota; Viridiplantae; Streptophyta; Magnoliopsida; Poales; Poaceae.
AUGGCUCCUACCAAGGCUGAGGCUGAUGUAGAGGAUGGAGAAGAGAAGAAGAAGAGGGAAAGGAAAGCAGCCGGAGCUGCUUUCACGUGGAUUCAAAAUAACUUUGCGACGUGCCCUCUGGAUGCCACUGAUGAUGUGAUCCAGACACAUGCUUGUGUGUAUAUGUGGUACGUUGUGUCGAGUACUUUGUUUCCUGACUCCACUGGCAAGAACGCUCCAUGGAUGUGGCUGAAGGCGUUGACCGUCUUUGAUAGCAAAUGGAGCUGGGGUUCAGCGACUCUUGCCUACUUGUACUGA